AGCGCGCCCCGGCCUGAGUGGAGCUCUUUUUCUUGAAAAGAAAAAAGCGGGAACGGAGGACGGAUAAAGGC
Molecule: unclassified non-coding RNA, 71 nt
Filed under: Epilithonimonas zeae
Lineage: Bacteria; Pseudomonadati; Bacteroidota; Flavobacteriia; Flavobacteriales; Weeksellaceae
Description: Chryseobacterium zeae Flavo-1 RNA
Source: RNAcentral